UGGCUACAUCACGUUGAAACACAGUUUCUCGUACGAUCACCAAUAUUAAGCAACGUCGAGCCAGGUCAGUACUUAGAUGGGUGACCUCUUGGGUGUACCCAGUGCAGUA
Non-coding RNA from Acanthosepion pharaonis, 109 nucleotides. The record is from the annotation of a GenBank genome assembly. NCBI's taxonomy places the organism in Eukaryota, Metazoa, Mollusca, Cephalopoda, Sepiida, Sepiidae.